This 68-nucleotide transfer RNA is filed under the name human gut metagenome. It matches the Rfam family "tRNA". From Rfam's summary of the family: Transfer RNA (tRNA) molecules are approximately 80 nucleotides in length. Their secondary structure includes four short double-helical elements and three loops (D, anti-codon, and T loops). The record is from RNAcentral.
UGAUGUGGCUCAGUUGGUAGAGCGAUUCACUCGUAAUGAAUAGGUCGGGGGUUCAAGUCCCCCCAUCA